CUCCCGCCAUUUCCUCGCUCUCUCUGUUCUCUUUCUCCUCCCUCCCUCCUUCUCUUGCGCUGUCUUUCCCACACUUCUAAACCUCAUCGCUCCAUCCUCCACUCUCAACUCCAAAAUCCUCCUCUCGACUUCUAUCUUCCUCGAUCAAGGCCCGUCUAAUCAUUUCACUAUUAAUGCCCUUGUUUUCUCUCUCCUAUUCUCGCUCUUUGUCUUUGUUUUCGCUCCCCUUGCUGUUGGUUCCAUCACCUAUAGCGUUCUCCAUGGCUUCUAUGGUAGACCUGUCAAGCUCCUAGCCGCUAUCAAAUCUGCUUUUACUUCUUUCCUUCCCUUGUUAGUCACUACCAUUUUUGCUCAAAUUAUUGUGUUUGCGAUGUUUCUCAUUUCUGGGUUUUUCCUGUUUUUGGUAUUUAUGGCCAUUCAGCUGUUGGGGUUUCAAGUCGAGAUCUCUUCUCCCUAUUUUAUUGGGUUCUCUGGGGUUGUUUCGAUUGUUUUGUUAUUGGUUAUAGUGUAUUUGCAACUUAAUUGGUCUCUAGUAGGAGUCGCUUGUGGUAGCGGAAUCGAGUUGGGGGCUUGAGCCAUUGAAGCGGAGUAGUUAUCUCAUAAAGGGAAUGAGAGGAGUGGCUCUGGCUUUAUUGUUGUUUUUUGGGUUCUUGGUGUGUAUUUUGUUAAUCAUUAGCUCUGUAUCAGGGGUGACACUGGGUAUUGGCACUAGCAAUGGAUGGAAGAGUUGUGCAUUUGUUAUCCAAAUUGUGGUAACUACAACACUGCUAAUGCUGUUGCUCCUUUACGAUGUUGCUGCAAAUACUGUUCUGUAUAUGUAUUGCAAG
This 827-nucleotide unclassified non-coding RNA is filed under the name Hevea brasiliensis (rubber tree). Lineage: Eukaryota; Viridiplantae; Streptophyta; Magnoliopsida; Malpighiales; Euphorbiaceae. The record is from RNAcentral.